Molecule: ribosomal RNA, 455 nt
Filed under: uncultured bacterium
Lineage: Bacteria
Description: bacterial SSU rRNA
Rfam family: Bacterial small subunit ribosomal RNA
Source: RNAcentral
UUAAGCUUCCUACGGGAGGCUGCAGUGGGGAAUCUUAGACAAUGGGGGAAACCCUGAUCUAGCCAUGCCGCGUGAUCGAUGAAGGCCUUAGGGUUGUAAAGAUCUUUCAGGUGGGAAGAUAAUGACUGUACCACCAGAAGAAGCCCCGGCUAACUCCGUGCCAGCAGCCGCGGUAAUACGGAGGGGGCUAGCGUUGUUCGGAAUUACUGGGCGUAAAGCGCACGUAGGCGGAUCAGAAAGUCAGAGGUGAAAUCCCAGGGCUCAACCUUGGAACUGCCUUUGAAACUCCUGAUCUUGAGGUCGAGAGAGGUGAGUGGAAUUCCGAGUGUAGAGGUGAAAUUCGUAGAUAUUCGGAGGAACACCAGUGGCGAAGGCGGCUCACUGGCUCGAUACUGACGCUGAGGUGCAGGAGCGUGGGGAGCAAACAGGAUUAGAUACCCUUGUAGUCGAAUUCU